AGCGGCCCCGUGCGGAGCCCCGACAGUGUGGCCGCAGCGCGGCUGUGGUCCCUCAUGCUCCGCCGAGUUUCUAGCCUGACACGCCCUUGACCUGAGGAUCGUGAACCGCAGCUGCCAGGUGAGGUGUGUGGCCUGGGUCCGCUGCGGCAUGGCCAAAGAGACACCAGACAAGGUAGAGCUGAGUAAAGAAGAAGUAAAACGUCUCACUGCUGAGGCAAAGGAGAAAUUGCAAGAAGAAGGUGGGUGGUGGCAUUGAUGAAGAGGAGACAGGCAGUCCUUCAGAAGAUGGCAUGCAGAGUGCGCGCACCCAGGCACACCCAAGAGAGCCCCUGGAUGGUGACCCAGAGGAUGACAGGACGCUCGAUGAUGAUGAGCUAAGUAUGACUUAUAUAAAUAUGAUGAGGAAGAUGACCCAGAUGCUGAGACUCUUGGUGAAUCUCUCUUGGGUCUUAUGGUCUACGGGAGUAAUGAUCAAGAUCCUUACGUUACUCUGAAAGAUACAGAACAAUAUGAACUUGAAGAUUUCUUGCUUAAGCCCAGUGAUAAUCUCAUAGCUUGUGGCCGAGCUGAACAGGACCAGUGCAAUUUAGAGGUGCAUGUUUAUAAUCAAGAAGAAGACUCUUUUUAUGUACAUCAGGAUAUACUCUUGUCUGCAUAUCCUCUGAGUGUGGAAUGGCUGAAUUUUGAUCCUAGCCCAGAUGAUUCUACUGGAAAUUACAUUGCUGUAGGAAACAUGACCCCUGUUAUUGAAGUGUGGGACCUUGAUAUAGUGGACUCUUUAGAGCCAGUCUUCACACUGGGAAGUAAACUUUCAAAAAAGAAGAAAAAGAAAGGAAAGAAGAGUUUCUCAGCAGAAGGGCAUACCGAUGCUGUCCUUGACCUUUCAUGGAAUAAGCUAAUCAGAAAUGUUUUAGCAAGUGCGUCAGCGGACAACACUGUAAUUCUGUGGGAUAUGUCCUUGGGGAAACCAGCAGCUAGCCUCCCUAUACACACAGACAAGGUCCAAAUGCUGCAGUUUCAUCCAUUUGAAGCACAGACUCUGAUUUCUGGCUUUGUAUGACUGCUGAAGUCCAGAUGAAAGCCAUCGAAUGUGGCGAUUCAGUAGGCAGAUAGAGUGACUUGGAAUCACUUUUCACCUUGUCAUUUUUUGGCCAGUACAGAUGAUGGCUUUGUGUAUAAUUUGGAUGCAGGUUCAGAUAAGCCAAUUUUUACACUUAAUGCGCACAAUGAUGAAAUCUCUGGUCUUGAUCUUAGCAGUUAAAUCAAGGGCUGUCUCGUGACUGCUUCAGUUGACAAAUAUGUGAAGAUCUGGGGCAUCUUAGGAGAUAGGCCAAGUCUAGUUCAUUCUAGGGACAUGAAAAUGGGAGUUCUCUUCUGUUCUUUAUGUUGCCCUGAUUUGCCAUUUAUUUAUGCCUUUGGAGGUCGAAAAGAAGGGCUUUGGGUCUGGGAUAUAAGCACAGUCUCUUCGGUAAAUCAAGCAUUUGGAAGACGAGAGAGGCAUGUUCUCAGGAGUGCAAGAAAUUCAUCUAUCAGUGGCCCUUUUGGCAGCAGGAGCUCAGACACACCCAUGGAGUCUUAAUGAAGAUCAUCUAAUUUCCCAUUUACCUUAACUGGGAAUUUUGAAAAGUUGGCCUAAAAAUGUUCCAUAUGUGGCAGCAACCAUGCAGAGUGACUGAAACACAAUUCAUUUCUGACUUCCUGAUAUUCCUUUCUGCAACUGUGGUGGCACCACAAACAGAGCUGGUCUUUGUGCUUGCUCUUCAAAUGGAUGGUUUGUAAGGCUCUUGUUGCAUUUCUUAAAAGAGUAAUAAAAAGGAUUUAAAAAAAUAGUUCCUCAAACAUACCAUCUGUCAUAGUUAAUCUAGGUUUGCAAAUAUGUAGUAAUUUAUAGAAUUUUUAAAGCGUAAAAUCCUGUAAUAUUAAAAGAUGGGUAAACCUAGGCCUGGAAAGGUUGUUAUUUGGCUAAGAUUGCACAGGAGGCCACAAACAGAGGCAAGUGCCCCAGAGACUCCACUUUCCUUCCUAACUAUUCUCAAAUUAAUGCUCGUGAUUGAGAAGUAUGCUCAAUGCAACUCAUAGAGUUUGGUAAGUAAAAGUUACAUGCCCCUGUUUUCCUAGCAUGAUAUUCACUGUUAUCAAAGACAAGAGGCAGACCAUUCAUUCAUUCUCAAAACACUGAAUGCCAUUCUGUGCCCAGUGCUAUACAAGGCAUGGGAGAUUCAGUGUGAAUAAGUCUUUGCUCUCCACCUAACAAGGGACAAUUUUCAUUGUAGAUCGUCUUCCUAUUAAGUAUGAAUUUUAGUAGGCAUUAAAAAUUAGUUUGAUAAUAUGAGACCCAACCCUAACUUGCCAGAAGAAUAAUCAGUUCAUGAACCUUUGAUAUUUCCUGUAUAAUUCAUGAAUGUGACUUCAAUCUUUCUAGUGUUAAUACUAUGGAAUGUCAUUGAUGUAACAACUUGGGUUCACCAAAACACCUCUUUAUACAAAGGACAGAUGUGUGAAUUAAAGAGAUUAAAGGAUGGAG
Molecule: RNA transcript, 2524 nt
Organism: Mandrillus leucophaeus (drill)
Lineage: Eukaryota; Metazoa; Chordata; Mammalia; Primates; Cercopithecidae
Gene name: periodic tryptophan protein 1 homolog pseudogene
Exons: 1
Source: RefSeq, a predicted model, not a curated record